GCCGGGGGCGGUGGUGCGUGCCUGUAGUCCCAGCUACUCGGGAGGCUGAGGUGGGAGGAUCUCUUGAGCCCAGGAAUUCUGGGCUGUAGUGCGCUAUGCCUAUCGGGUGUCCGCACUAAGUUCGGCUUCAAUAUGGUGACCUCCCUGGAUCAGGGGACCACCAGCUUUCCUAAGGAGGGGUGAACUGGCCCAGGUCGGAAACAGAGCAGGUUAAAACUCCGGCGUUGGUCGGUAGUCGGAUCCUGCCUGUGAAUAUCCACUGCACUCCAGCCUGGGCAACAUAGCGAGACCCGGUCUCU
Molecule: signal recognition particle RNA, 299 nt
Filed under: Aotus nancymaae (Ma's night monkey)
Lineage: Eukaryota; Metazoa; Chordata; Mammalia; Primates; Aotidae
Description: Metazoan signal recognition particle RNA (ENSANAG00000010219.1)
Rfam family: Metazoan signal recognition particle RNA
About the family: The signal recognition particle (SRP) is a universally conserved ribonucleoprotein. It is involved in the co-translational targeting of proteins to membranes. The eukaryotic SRP consists of a 300-nucleotide 7S RNA and six proteins: SRPs 72, 68, 54, 19, 14, and 9.
Source: RNAcentral